Molecule: ribosomal RNA, 466 nt
Filed under: uncultured ammonia-oxidizing beta proteobacterium
Lineage: Bacteria; Pseudomonadati; Pseudomonadota; Betaproteobacteria
Description: bacterial SSU rRNA
Rfam family: Bacterial small subunit ribosomal RNA
Source: RNAcentral
GGAGGAAAGCAGGGGAUCGUAAGACCUUGCGCUUUUGGAGUGGCCGAUGCCUGAUUAGCUAGUUGGUGGGGUAAGGGCCUACCAAGGCAACGAUCAGUAGUUGGUCUGAGAGGACGACCAGCCACACUGGGACUGAGACACGGCCCAGACUCCUACGGGAGGCAGCAGUGGGGAAUUUUGGACAAUGGGCGAAAGCCUGAUCCAGCAAUGCCGCGUGAGUGAAGAAGGCCUUCGGGUUGUAAAGCUCUUUCAGUCGGGAAGAAAAGGUUGUGACUAAUAAUCACAACUUAUGACGGUACCGACAGAAGAAGCACCGGCUAACUACGUGCCAGCAGCCGCGGUAAUACGUAGGGUGCGAGCGUUAAUCGGAAUUACUGGGCGUAAAGGGUGCGCAGGCGGCUUUGUAAGUCAGAUGUGAAAUCCUCGGGCUUAACCUGGGAAUUGCGUUUGAAACUACAAAGCUAGA